This 373-nucleotide long non-coding RNA is filed under the name Mytilus galloprovincialis (Mediterranean mussel). Lineage: Eukaryota; Metazoa; Mollusca; Bivalvia; Mytilida; Mytilidae. The record is from RNAcentral.
AUGGCAGCUAGUAUUCAAUUUUUCAGAAGUGUUGUAUUAAUCAUUCCUUCCAUGACAACUCAUAUUUACUAAGAACGUUUACUGUACAAUUUACCGAUAUCAUCAAUUUCAAAUAUUAAAACAAUAUAUGUUCCAGACUAUGGGCCGUCACUGUUUUCUAUCAUUUUGGCAAGCCCUAUUCCAUGGAUAACAGAUUCUUGACUUUCUUUCUGUGUCUCGAAUUCUGUCUUAUUGCAUUGUCGUGCAGUUUUAACAAACAUUUAGCAUGAUAUCUGCUCCUGAAAUAUUAAUCUCCAGCACUGAGUCUGGCUAAAAGAUCAAUGGUUAGUAGUUCAAGUGACAGUCAUAUACUCUAUUGUCGAUCAUUAUUGUC